Molecule: long non-coding RNA, 392 nt
Filed under: Ananas comosus (pineapple)
Lineage: Eukaryota; Viridiplantae; Streptophyta; Magnoliopsida; Poales; Bromeliaceae
Description: long non-coding RNA (ACOM_LNC022648)
Source: RNAcentral
UUUUUGUCCAUGUCAGCUAAUAUAUAUCUAUACUAUAUAUAAAGCACGUAUAUUCAAAUUUGAGUCCGUCGACAGACCUAUUUUUCGGCAGAAAAAUUAGCGCCCAUUUUUUUCUUUUCAUACGAAAAAUUUUAAAUAUAAGAAUAAAAAUAGAAAUAGAAACAACAAUAAAUACGUAAGUUCUCUAUAACAGAUUAUUAAUGUGAAAAUUCUAAAAUAUAAAUUUUUUUAUUUAAUUUCAAAAGUAAGUUUUCUAUAACAGAUUAUGGGUGUGAAAAUCCUAUAAAAGAUAUUUUCCUAUUUUAUUUUAAAAUAUCUUUUUUAGAUAUUAUCUAUUUAAUUUCAAAAUAUAUUUUCUUUUUAAGAUAACGGAUUUUAUUUUUCUAUUUAAU